CUACCGUCGCGUUAUUUUACGAACUAGGUCGAACGGCUCGGCCGUCAUACCGCGCAAGCCUAAUCGUCGCGAAUCCGCCGUCCUACUGCUCGCGCCUUUCUUUUCACCGAUCGACCGCCCGCUAUUUCAUCGCGCCUUUAUCUCCCUGCCUCGCAGCUCUCAAAUGCGAUACCGAUCUCGCUACUCGAGCCGUUCCACUCUAUCGCGGUACUCUUACUUAUCAGCCGACUCUGAUGUCCAUUUUAAAUAACCAUUUUAAAUAUCGCCAACGCGGGAAACCGAGCUUCGCGGAACUCCAAUGCGCCCCUAGACAGCGAGAAAAAGAACUACGCGACCAUCGUUACCGUGCCACGGUGUAAUUACGGAUCGCCCCAACUAUGGUGGACUUUCUCGAAGAGAUUGUUCAGAGACGCGUAGAUUUUCCUCGUUCCCGAUCGUUCUCCGUAUCCUGUGAAGCGUAAAAAGUAGCCCGCGACGCGAAUCUCGUGCUUCGAGAUCAGAGAAGCCUGUGAUUACGUCACCGAUCAAUGUCACGACUAAGCCGGCGUUAAAAAUCCAGCUACGACGAGUGUACACGGGUAUAAGCACGGUUUGGCGAGAUAAAAGACGCAGCGUUACGUCACCCAUUGCGGAAGCGUUGGCGGAAAUUAGCGAAGAGGUUACGAAGUGUCCUUCGAUAAAAUUGGUUCGUUGCCCAACGCGUUAUUGGCGCUGGUCCUCGGAUAGCGAUGGCGUAUUCCUCGCGAGGAGCGUAGAUGACACGGUAACGAGUGUUCGAAUCGACCGCUAUCCGGAAGCGCGUACACCGCGUGGACCCUUGGAAAGGAAGCGGACUUUCGCCCUACUGGAUCCGCGCCGUGGAUCAUCGUUAAUUCCAGAGGGCACCAGCGACAGCCUCCGUAGCUCGGUCUCUCUUUUAACGAGCUCCGAUGAGAACGAAUUACUCUCGCUGCCUACUCCCCGAUCCCAGCUGCUCCUGGCCACCGCUUAAAUGCCGUUGGCAUUUCAUCACUUCGCGAGGAGGUCCGCUCUUUAGUUUCGCUGCCAAGAGGAAUCCCCGCGCCGAGGACGAGCCGGUGGAAACUCGUUAGACCACAAUUAUCCUCGACGGAGAUCGGUAUCGGUAAGGAUAUUUUGCUGUGCUUGCGACCAGGAAAUUUAAUAUGGCUACUCGCGCUCCGUUAUCUCUCGCGAUAAGUACCUUGUCUAUUCACGGAGCCUCGUGUUUCUGGCAAAACGAAAUUGUAUUACGCGUUAUCUUCGACUUUUAAAUUCCGCUCGGGAAAUUUGUUAUUCAAAAUUGACCGCGGCAGUCCUACGCGGUAACGGAAUUUUUAUUUCUAUUUAUCCGUUUGGCGGAUAAAACGGUCUGUAAUAACGUAUAACUCGCGCAUUUGGCAAAUAAAUUAACUCUACAGGGAAAAAAAACAUUUAUUUUAAUCAUCGCAUUACGGUUUAAUUGUGAAAAAUUAUACGUUAAAGUAGUGUUUAAUUUUAUCUAAC
RNA transcript from Eufriesea mexicana, 1503 nucleotides. RefSeq lists it as uncharacterized. The transcript has 2 exons. The record is from RefSeq and is a predicted model, not a curated record. Lineage: Eukaryota; Metazoa; Arthropoda; Insecta; Hymenoptera; Apidae.